Molecule: long non-coding RNA, 201 nt
Filed under: Elaeis guineensis (African oil palm)
Lineage: Eukaryota; Viridiplantae; Streptophyta; Magnoliopsida; Arecales; Arecaceae
Description: long non-coding RNA (EGUI_LNC058374)
Source: RNAcentral
UCUUCUGCACUUAUAAUCCCAAAAGACAUCUGAUGUCAUGAGAAAAUAAUAAAUGCAUAGAAAUUAAUGGAAGAAAAUAAGAGUCCACAUAGAAAUGGACUCUUCCAUUUCAAUGCCAAAAAUGGGGCGUCCCAUAUUUAUUUUGGCAUGGAGUUCCUUCCAAGAGAAGGAUUCAACUUCCUCUUCCAUGUCCCACAUCCC